RNAcentral lists this ribosomal RNA (484 nucleotides) under uncultured bacterium. Its description in RNAcentral is "partial 16S ribosomal RNA". It matches the Rfam family "Bacterial small subunit ribosomal RNA", at positions 30 to 507 of the family's 1533-position model. The record is from RNAcentral.
AUUGAACGCUGGCGGCAGGCCUAACACAUGCAAGUCGAGCGGAUGAAGGGAGCUUGCUCCUGGAUUCAGCGGCGGACGGGUGAGUAAUGCCUAGGAAUCUGCCUGGUUGUGGGGGAUAACGUCCGGAAACGGGCGCUCAUACCGCAUAAGUCCUGAGGGCGAACGUGGGGGAUCUUCGGACCUCCCGCUAUCAGAUGAUCCUAUGUCGGAUUAGCUAGUUGGUGGGGUAAAGGCCUACCAAGGCGACGAUCCGUAACUGGUCUGAGAGGAUGAUCAGCCACACUGGAACUGAGACACGGUCCAGACUCCUACGGGAGGCAGCAGUGGGGAAUAUUGGACAAUGGGCGAAAGCCUGAUCCAGCCAUGCCGCGUGUGUGAAGAAGGUCUUCGGAUUGUAAAGCCCUUUAAGUUGGGAGGAAGGGCAGUAAGUUAAUACCUCGCUGUUUUGACGGUACCAACAGAAUAAGCACCGGCUAACUUCGUG